RNAcentral lists this transfer RNA (72 nucleotides) under Hordeum vulgare. RNAcentral's name for it is "tRNA-OTHER". The record is from RNAcentral. Lineage: Eukaryota; Viridiplantae; Streptophyta; Magnoliopsida; Poales; Poaceae.
CCGUAUCGUAGCAUAGUGGAGCGCGUAUGUGUGUUGGUGCAUCAGGUCGUGGGUUCGAAUCCCACGUGCGCU